GUCAAGCUACAAAGGGCUCACGGUGGAUACCUAGGCACAC
RNAcentral lists this ribosomal RNA (40 nucleotides) under Cyanobium sp. Suigetsu-CR5. RNAcentral describes it as "partial 23S ribosomal RNA". Lineage: Bacteria; Bacillati; Cyanobacteriota; Cyanophyceae; Synechococcales; Prochlorococcaceae. The record is from RNAcentral.